RNAcentral lists this ribosomal RNA (462 nucleotides) under uncultured bacterium. RNAcentral's name for it is "bacterial SSU rRNA". It matches the Rfam family "Bacterial small subunit ribosomal RNA", at positions 355 to 825 of the family's 1533-position model. The record is from RNAcentral.
UAAGGAAUAUUGCGCAAUGGACGAAAGUCUGACGCAGCGACGCCGCGUGGGGGAUGAAGGUCUUCGGAUUGUAAACCCCUUUCGGGAGGGAAGAUGGAGUGGGUAACCACUUGGACGGUACCUCCAGAAGCAGCCACGGCUAACUUCGUGCCAGCAGCCGCGGUAAUACGAAGGUGGCAAGCGUUAUUCGGAUUUACUGGGCGUACAGGGAGCGUAGGCGGCAAUUCAAGUCAUCUGUGAAAUCUCCGGGCUUAACUCGGAACGGUCAGAUGAUACUGCUUUGCUAGAGUGCAGAAGGGGCAAUCGGAAUUCUUGGUGUAGCGGUGAAAUGCGUAGAUAUCAAGAGGAACACCUGAGGUGAAGACGGGUUGCUGGGCUGACACUGACGCUGAGGCGCGAAAGCCAGGGGAGCAAACGGGAUUAGAUACCCACGUAGUCCCUGAGCGGGCUGGCAAGGCGCAU